RNAcentral lists this transfer RNA (75 nucleotides) under Clostridiales bacterium. RNAcentral's name for it is "tRNA-Val". It matches the Rfam family "tRNA". From Rfam's summary of the family: Transfer RNA (tRNA) molecules are approximately 80 nucleotides in length. Their secondary structure includes four short double-helical elements and three loops (D, anti-codon, and T loops). RNAcentral also lists the same sequence under 1 other name. The record is from RNAcentral. Lineage: Bacteria; Bacillati; Bacillota; Clostridia; Eubacteriales.
GGGCAAUUAACUCAGCGGGAGAGUGCUACCUUCACAUGGUAGAAGUCACAGGUUCGAACCCUGUAUUGCCCACCA